CCUACGGGAGGCAGCAGUGGGGAAUAUUGGACAAUGGGGGAACCCCUGAUCCAGCGACGCCGCGUGAGUGAAGAAGUAUUUCGGUACGUAAAGCUCUAUCAGCAGGAAAGAAAAUGACGGUACCUGACUAAGAAGCCCCGGCUAACUACGUGCCAGCAGCCGCGGUAAUACGUAGGGGGCAAGCGUUAUCCGGAUUUACUGGGUGUAAAGGGGGCGUAGACGGCAGCGCAAGUCUGGAGUGAAAUGCCGGGGCCCAACCCCGGAACUGCUCUGGAAACUGGGAAGCUGGAGUGCAGGAGAGGUAAGCGGAAUUCCUGGUGUAGCGGUGAAAUGCGUAGAUAUCAGGAGGAACACUGGCGGCGAAGGCGGCUUACUGGACUGUAACUGACGUUGAGGCUCGAAGGCGUGGGGAGCAAACAGGAUUAGAUACCCCGGUAGUC
This 440-nucleotide ribosomal RNA is filed under the name uncultured bacterium. RNAcentral describes it as "partial 16S ribosomal RNA". It matches the Rfam family "Bacterial small subunit ribosomal RNA", at positions 338 to 795 of the family's 1533-position model. The record is from RNAcentral.